CUGCGGUCGCCUGAGCGCCUUAUCCACUCGCAGCUCCACCGCUUUCCCUACCACCCAUUCCCCACCCCACCCUCCACAGUCUACUAUCUCUCGUCGUCGAAUUUGAAGCCGAGACGACCGGCGUUGGGCAGGCGGGACGGAGGCGAAGCCCGUCUGGCAGUCGGAGUUAUGUCGGGCGGCACACGAGUGCAGUGUGUUGGUCGGGCGAGCGUGACCUCGAGGAGCAACACGUUGCGACCUCCACGCUGUAGGGCGGGAAUCGACACCUCUCCGACCGCCUCCACGCCGCCGGGCUGGUAGAGGAGGACGGGGACCAGCUGGCCGCCGUCAACGACGGGAAUAUGCAUGGUGCCGGGCCUGUUGCCAUGGUGACCCUCCUCGCCGUCCUGCACUCGACGCCCAUCAUGGAGAUGUCGCCAUGACCCUUCUCCCUUGUGAUUGAGGCACAAAGCAGAGGAAGAUGGGGAAGAAUACGACGUGGUGCCCAUGGCCUUCAUCGAACCCGACGACGAAUCGUCACUGAGCGUAUUCACUCAUCCAUUUUUCUCUCUUUCAUGCUACUACUGAUGGACGCAUAGUGGCCAUUGACGAGAUUUUUUGGUCAUGUUAUGUGUCAUUUUAGUUCGAUAAAACUCAUAGGUAGGAGUAGAUGGCAUUUUUACGGUGUUUUUCUUUUCUUUUGGUAAGCUCCACAUUGUGUGUGUAUUUAGUUCCCUAACACCUUAGUGAUGGCAGUUUUCAUUUUCAGUAACCAUGUCAUCAUUUUCGUCAAAUGAGGUGAUCAGCAUGUAUGUGUCAAGCUAUUUUUUGCUUUUGUUUUGCUUCACAUACAUGUAUUUAUAGUUCAUAGUUCUGCUCUAAUUUUCAUAAUCAUGGCAAUUAAGUAUGUGCAUAGGUGGCUAUUUUUUUAAAAUUAUCAUGGCAUCUUUGUGUGUACAAGAAUUGGGGUUCAGACUAUAUCCAUGUUGUCGGCAAUAGUUAUAUUAAUGUUUUGACAUGUAAACUUAGUUUUGUUUGCCAUGAUAACUAUAGUUAUUUUGUGAUGGCCCACAAGUAUAGGGGAUCACGAUAGUCCUCGAGGGUAGUAUUUUACCUAAUUUAUUGAUUCGAUACAAUAAGAGCCAAAGAAUAUUUAUAAGCCUUAACAGUUGAGUUGUCCAUUUAACCAAGCAUGAGAAGCCACUUCUGUGCAGCAAUUUAUUAGUAGCAUAGUAACAUGAUAACAAUGAUAGCAGUAGUAAUGGUAAAAAUAGCAGUAAUAGCAGUUUUGUGGCAAUUAGAUCAGCAUCGGUUGGAUCAGCAGCAGUAAUAGUAACUUGAGCAAAGACAAUAUUGUAAAAGCGUAGGUAUGGAUUAGCGAUAGAUAUUCAGACGUAAUUCAUAAUGUAACGUUCACAACCUAGAGCGACACACAAUGACUCUAAUUCAUCAAUUGUAUGUAGGCAUGUAUUCCAUAUUUAGUCAUACGCGUUUGUGAUAAGAACUUGCAAGACAUCCCCUCUCGUGGAAACGGAGUCCUAAUGGAAACUAAGGAUAAUUACGGUGCUCCUUUCAAUAGAGAACUGGAACAAAGUAUUAGAACAUAGUGAAUACACAAACUCUUCAAAUUACAGUCAUCUCCGGACAGUAUCCCAAUUAUUCUCACUUUGGAGAUCUAUGGAUCGAAACAAUAAUAGGUUCAUAUAACUUGCAGAUAGGAUCAUGAACUCAAAUAUAUUCAUGCAAACAUAAUAGAUUAAGAUCUAAAAAUCAUGGCACUUGGAUCCUAUUGAAAAGCAUUAAACAUAACAAAGUCAUAGCAACAUCAAUCUCAGAACAUAGUGUAUACUAGGGAUCAACCCUAACAAAUUGACUCGAUUACAUAAAGAUUCUCAUCCAUCUCUAUCCACCUCCAGUAUGCCUACAAUGGAAUUACUAACUCCCGGUAGUGAGCAUCAUGAGGUUGUCAAUUGGAGAAGGGUUGGUGAUGACAACGGUGAUGAAUCCCUCUUGGCGGAGACUCGAACGGACUCUAGAUCAGGCUCCUGGUGAAGAAGAGGAGGUGGCGGCGGCUCCAUAUCAUAAAAUACGAUAAAACUUUAUCUCUGAUUUUUUUUCUCAGGAAGACGAUAUAUGUAGCUUGGAAU
RNAcentral lists this ribosomal RNA (2126 nucleotides) under Triticum aestivum (bread wheat). RNAcentral describes it as "partial small subunit ribosomal RNA". The record is from RNAcentral. Lineage: Eukaryota; Viridiplantae; Streptophyta; Magnoliopsida; Poales; Poaceae.